UGGGUUGUGGCUCAGUGGUAGAGCGCUCACCUAGCAUGUGCAAGGCCCUGGGUUUGAUCCUCAGCACCACAU
Molecule: transfer RNA, 72 nt
Filed under: Ictidomys tridecemlineatus (thirteen-lined ground squirrel)
Lineage: Eukaryota; Metazoa; Chordata; Mammalia; Rodentia; Sciuridae
Description: Spermophilus tridecemlineatus (thirteen-lined ground squirrel) tRNA
Rfam family: tRNA
About the family: Transfer RNA (tRNA) molecules are approximately 80 nucleotides in length. Their secondary structure includes four short double-helical elements and three loops (D, anti-codon, and T loops).
Source: Rfam by way of RNAcentral